This 509-nucleotide ribosomal RNA is filed under the name uncultured bacterium. RNAcentral's name for it is "partial 16S ribosomal RNA". It matches the Rfam family "Bacterial small subunit ribosomal RNA", at positions 28 to 506 of the family's 1533-position model. The record is from RNAcentral.
GACGAACGCUGGCGGCGUGCUUAACACAUGCAAGUCGAACGAAGAGCGAUGGAAGCUUGCUUCUAUCAAUCUUAGUGGCGCACGGGUGAGUAACGCGUAAUCAACCUGCCCUUCAGAGGGGGACAACAGUUGGAAACGACUGCUAAUACCGCAUACGAUCUAAUCUCGGCAUCGAGGAUAGAUGAAAGGUGGCCUCUACAUGUAAGCUAUCACUGAAGGAGGGGAUUGCGUCUGAUUAGCUAGUUGGAGGGGUAACGGCCCACCAAGGCGAUGAUCAGUAGCCGGUCUGAGAGGAUGAACGGCCACAUUGGGACUGAGACACGGCCCAGACUCCUACGGGAGGCAGCAGUGGGGAAUCUUCCGCAAUGGACGAAAGUCUGACGGAGCAACGCCGCGUGAGUGAUGACGGCCUUCGGGUUGUAAAGCUCUGUUAAUCGGGACGAAAGGCCUUCUUGCGAAUAGUGAGAAGGAUUGACGGUACCGGAAUAGAAAGCCACGGCGAACUACGU